UUUAGCAAACACUCUCUGCUUCUGAGUUGUUUACAUGGCCCCUUCGAAGAGUGCAGCAGAUAUUCCCUUGUGGAAGACUGGUUGAAAAGCAAAACACCAUUUUCUUACUAGAAGCUUGAAGUUCCCGGCUUCAGAGACUUCAGAGAAAGGGAGAAAGAGGCUUCCCAAAUGUAGGGUUCCUGUUCUUUGAUGGCCUUCUGCUAGCUGGAACAAUGACUUUUAACUUCAGUAUUCCUAAAAAUACAAAGAACUAGACCCUGCAUGUGCACGAAUAACACCUAGGUCAUGCUCUGAUCUGCCCGCCUAGUAACUGCCCUCCCCUAGGGAGAUCGCUGCUUACAAGGCAGCAAGGGAUUCAAGGUCAGCAUCGUCUACAUGGGAAGGCCACAGGGAAGAAUUACCUGACUCACUUGCUGCACAAGCAUGCUUCUACCAUGUAUCUGACAUGCAAUUACACCCUCCUUUUCUUUGGUGUAUUGUGAUUUAAAAGCCACUUUACAAUGAUUUUGCAAAGCCCAGAGAGCUUGCAACUUGUAUUUGAGGCAUUGUCUCAUGUUCAGGUCAACUCUGACUGAAAAAAUAAAAAA
Molecule: long non-coding RNA, 587 nt
Filed under: Rattus norvegicus (Norway rat)
Lineage: Eukaryota; Metazoa; Chordata; Mammalia; Rodentia; Muridae
Description: long non-coding RNA NONRATT015119
Source: RNAcentral